Long non-coding RNA from Centrocercus urophasianus (Greater sage-grouse), 545 nucleotides. RefSeq lists it as uncharacterized. The transcript is spliced from 4 exons. The record is from RefSeq and is a predicted model, not a curated record. Lineage: Eukaryota; Metazoa; Chordata; Aves; Galliformes; Phasianidae.
GGUAUCUGAAGAGACAAGGUAUCUUGCUGCAACUUCACGAAGUGGCAUUUCUUGUCGAUGAGAGGAACUCGUCUCUCUCUUCCCACACAAACGGAGUGCAGAAUGGAGCUGUAGUAUGGACUUCUUUCAGAAAGACAGCAACAAAAACAAGACUCAGAGUAAAGGUCACUUCUGAUCCAGCUUACACAGACCUUCCAUGUUUGUUCCCUGUCUACAGACCACGAGCUCUCAGGUUCAAGGCAGCAAGACUCACAAUCCUGCUUACGGAAUGUGCCUGUUUUGCAGUCAUGGAGGCACCCGGCCAGAUGAGGUUCAAGCUGGUCUGCAUUGAUUUGAACUUAAGGUAGUGUUGGAACUGCUCUAUUACCUGGAAGAACUCUGGAUUUUGGUUAAGUUCAUUUUGAUCCUGCUCAUAUUGGCUGCUUAAAGUGUACUUACACACAGCUUGAGCCUGUCUGGAUGCUGUUCUUCCUCUUCAGUCAUUUUUCUGCCCUGAUUUGUAUUCCUGCCCUCCAGCGUAACGUUAUUCAGAAACUUCUCGUCCU